RNAcentral lists this ribosomal RNA (466 nucleotides) under uncultured bacterium. Its description in RNAcentral is "partial 16S ribosomal RNA". It matches the Rfam family "Bacterial small subunit ribosomal RNA", at positions 28 to 506 of the family's 1533-position model. The record is from RNAcentral.
GACGAACGCUGGCGGCGUGCUUAACACAUGCCAGUCGAACGGAAAGGCUCCAGCUUGCUGGAGUACUCGAGUGGCGAACGGGUGAGUAACACGUGGGUAAUCUGCCCUGCACUCUGGGAUAAGCCUGGGAAACUGGGUCUAAUACUGGAUAUGACCUUUCUCCUUAUGGGGUUUGGUGGGAAGUUUUUCGGUGUAGGAUGAGCCCGCGGCCUAUCAGCUUGUUGGUGGGGUGAUGGCCUACCAAGGCGACGACGGGUAGCCGGCCUGAGAGGGUGAUCGGCCACAUUGGGACUGAGAUACGGCCCAGACUCCUACGGGAGGCAGCAGUGGGGAAUAUUGCACAAUGGGCGGAAGCCUGAUGCAGCGACGCCGCGUGAGGGAUGACGGCCUUCGGGUUGUAAACAUCUUUCAGCAGGGACGAAGCGUAAGGGACGGUACCUGCAGAAGAAGCACCGGCUAACUAUGG